UACGGAGGGUGCAAACGUUGCUCGGAAUUAUUGGGCGUAAAGCGCACGUAGGCGGACCAUCAAGUCGGUUGUGAAAUUCCUCGGCUUAACCGAGGACGUGCAUUCGAAACUGAUGGCCUUGAGUACGAAAGAGGAUCGCGGAAUUCCCGGUGUAGAGGUGAAAUUCGUAGAUAUCGGGAGGAACACCAGUGGCGAAGGCGGCGAUCUGGGUCGAUACUGACGCUGAGGUGCGAAAGCGUGGGGAGCAAACAGG
Molecule: ribosomal RNA, 253 nt
Filed under: uncultured bacterium
Lineage: Bacteria
Description: partial 16S ribosomal RNA
Rfam family: Bacterial small subunit ribosomal RNA
Source: RNAcentral